ACUCCUACGGGAGGCAGCAGUGGGGAAUAUUGGGCAAUGGGCGAAAGCCUGACCCAGCAACGCCGCGUGAAGGAAGAAGGUUUUCGGAUCGUAAACUUCUAUCCCGAGUGAAGAUAAUGACGGUAACUCGGAAGGAAGCCCCGGCUAACUACGUGCCAGCAGCCGCGGUAAUACGUAGGGGCAAGCGUUGUCCGGAAUGAUUGGGCGUAAAGGGCGCGUAGGCGGCCUUUUAAGUCCGAUGUGAAAGUCCUGCUUUUAAGGUGGGAAUUGCAUUGGAAACUGGAAGGCUUGAGUGCAGGAGAGGUAAGUGGAAUUCCCGGUGUAGCGGUGAAAUGCGUAGAGAUCGGGAGGAACACCAGUGGCGAAGGCGACUUACUGGACUGUAACUGACGCUGAGGCGCGAAAGUGUGGGGAGCAAACAGGAUUAGAUACCCUGGUAGGCUCUGC
Molecule: ribosomal RNA, 447 nt
Filed under: uncultured bacterium
Lineage: Bacteria
Description: bacterial SSU rRNA
Rfam family: Bacterial small subunit ribosomal RNA
Source: RNAcentral